GGGAUUGUGGCUCAGUGGUAGAGCACUUGCUUUGCAUGUGUGAGGCACUGGGUUCGAUUCUCAGCACCG
This is a non-coding RNA of Ictidomys tridecemlineatus (thirteen-lined ground squirrel), 69 nucleotides long. Lineage: Eukaryota; Metazoa; Chordata; Mammalia; Rodentia; Sciuridae. The record is from Rfam.